UGGGGAAUAUUGCACAUUGGAGGGAACUCUGAUGCAGCGACGCCGCGUGAACGAAGAAGGCUUUCGAGUCGUAAAGUUCUUUUAUAUGGGAAGAUAAUGACGGUACCAUAAGAAAAAGCCCCGGCUAACUACGUGCCAGCAGCCGCGGUAAUACGUAGGGGGCUAGCGUUGUCCGGAAUCACUGGGCGUAAAGGGUUCGCAGGCGGAAAUGCUAGUCAGGGGUAAAAGGCAGUAGCUUAACUACUGUAAGCAUUUGAAACUUCAUAUCUUGAGAAGAGUAGAAGUAAGUGAAAUUUUUAGUGUAGCGGUGAAAUGCGUAGAGAUUAAAAAGAAUACCGGUGGCGAAGGCGGCUUACUGAGCUCAUUCUGACGCUGAGGAACGAAAGCGUGGGUAGCAAACAGG
RNAcentral lists this ribosomal RNA (403 nucleotides) under bacterium. RNAcentral describes it as "partial 16S ribosomal RNA". It matches the Rfam family "Bacterial small subunit ribosomal RNA", at positions 355 to 776 of the family's 1533-position model. The record is from RNAcentral.